Molecule: ribosomal RNA, 253 nt
Filed under: uncultured bacterium
Lineage: Bacteria
Description: partial 16S ribosomal RNA
Rfam family: Bacterial small subunit ribosomal RNA
Source: RNAcentral
UACGUAGGGUGCAAGCGUUGUCCGGAAUUAUUGGGCGUAAAGAGCUCGUAGGCGGUUUGUCGCGUCGAAUGUGAAAUCCCGGGGCUCAACCCCGGGUCUGCAUUCGAUACGGGCAGACUGGAGUUCGGUAGGGGAGUCUGGAAUUCCUGGUGUAGCGGCGAAAUGCGCAGAUAUCAGGAGGAACACCGGUGGCGAAGGCGGGACUCUGGGCCGAUACUGACGCUGAGGAGCGAAAGCGUGGGGAGCAAACAGG